RNAcentral lists this ribosomal RNA (500 nucleotides) under uncultured Glomeromycotina. RNAcentral's name for it is "partial small subunit ribosomal RNA". It matches the Rfam family "Eukaryotic small subunit ribosomal RNA", at positions 591 to 1092 of the family's 1831-position model. Lineage: Eukaryota; Fungi; Glomeromycota. The record is from RNAcentral.
CCAAUAGCGUAUACUAAAGUUGUUGCAGUUAAAAAGCUCGUAGUUGAAUUUCGGGAUCAAUUUAUUGGUCGUGCCUCCGGUAUGCACUGGUAUUAUUGAUUUCUACCUUCUGACGAACUAUGAUGUCAUUAAUUUGGUGUCAUGGGGAAUCAGGACUGUUACUUUGAAAAAAUUAGAGUGUUUAAAGCAGGCACACGCUUGAAUACAUUAGCAUGGAAUAAUGAAAUAGGACGUUUGACCCUAUUUUGUUGGUUUCUAGGAUCGACGUAAUGAUUAAUAGGGAUAGUUGGGGGCAUUAGUAUUCAAUUGUCAGAGGUGAAAUUCUUGGAUUUAUUGAAGACUAACUACUGCGAAAGCAUUUGCCAAGGAUGUUUUCAUUAAUCAAGAACGAAAGUUAGGGGAUCGAAGACGAUCAGAUACCGUCGUAGUCUUAACCAUAAACUAUGCCGACUAGGGAUCGGAUGAUGUUAAUUUUUUAAUGACUCAUUCGGCGCCUUACG